RNAcentral lists this non-coding RNA (77 nucleotides) under Mycetohabitans endofungorum. Lineage: Bacteria; Pseudomonadati; Pseudomonadota; Betaproteobacteria; Burkholderiales; Burkholderiaceae. The record is from RNAcentral.
GGGAGCCGUAUGAGUUGAGAGGCUCACGUACGAUUCUGGGAGCGCGUGGGGGGAGAUUCCCCCGCGCGCGACUCGCU